This is a long non-coding RNA of Cryptotermes secundus, 1325 nucleotides long. RefSeq lists it as uncharacterized. The transcript is spliced from 3 exons. The record is from RefSeq and is a predicted model, not a curated record. Lineage: Eukaryota; Metazoa; Arthropoda; Insecta; Blattodea; Kalotermitidae.
GCAUUUGGUUACAAAUUGGCGCAGUUUGCUGAGGUUAAGUACACUAUUUUCAAACUUGUGUAUGUGGUGUUGAGGUUAGUUUAUGAAAAUACAAAGGGACAUAUGAAAAGAGCAAUACUUUCUGAAGACCGGAAUACGGAGAGAAUACCAAGAGGAAACGGUAGUGCGCAGCCGCAGAUCUGUUCGUGUUCUCUCUGCUUGUGGCGGGGCAUCAGUGGAAACUGCAGCUCUGGAAGCAAAGCAGGGACUCGUUAACUGCCUACUCCGAAGACUCGAGCCAGUUCUCUUCCGACUGCUGUUCUCUACUCCUUCAACUGCCAGCUUCGGAAUUCGCCUCUCUUAUAACCACUUUGCAGGGACCCAACGGAAAACGCAGCCUGUAUUGUUGGCAAAGCCUGUUUACCGCGCUACUGCUUAACACUGGACUCCCUAUUGUUGUCACGCGCUUAGGCGAGAAGUGUUUACCGGGUCAUUGCCUAGCAGUGGGCGCUCUAUUGUUGCGUGCACAUGUGUUGCGGGAAUGUGUUUAUCAAGCCUUUGCCUAGCAAUGGGCAUACAUGUUACAAUAUUGAAUAUUUGUGGGUGUUAUUCAUCAGAGAUUGCGUUAAACGCAUGCCUCGACGUAUCAUUCUCUGAGAUGUAGGAAAGAAUACGGGAUGAAGGGGAAGCUAACAAUACGGAAGUUUGUGCAACAAAUGAAAAGACUUGCCUCUCGCUCUCAACAGUUGGUACACUGAGAGACUGUGAAUAGAUACACCUGUUUCCUACCCGAAAGAAGCAGCUACGACGCUUCGUGAUGGAAAACAUUGACCUAAUGGCUGAGGGAGGAGAAGACCAGUGUCAGUGGGAACAGGAAAAUGAAACAGAGAACUGACGGCACGAUUAACAAAUGGAGGAACUGAAUGUGACUGCUGCAAUCGAUCCAAGGCUGGUACUGUCACGUGACCUGCUGCGUCCCCCUGGGGAUUCACCACAUUACGCUAAUCGCCGGUAUUUCCCUGUGCGGCGGCCUUUACACUCGUCAUUUUUAUUCUCCAUUCUGAGAGAUAAAUGGUCCAUACAGGAGACAAAUCUGUUAGUGGUAACAAUGUAUACCAGCUUGCUUCGAUAUUAAAUGCCGCGACAUUUCGCCCGCAUAAUUUAUUUCUGCGCUGCGUUUGGUUACCAGAACAGUCAAAGAUUCUUAUCCUAAACAUCAUUAACACUUUAAAGAACAGUGGUAAUUAUAUAUACCACCUUCUUUAACAUUAACGAAGCUUCUUUUUGCCCACAUAGUGUAUCUGUGUAUUUAUGAUUCUCAAAAUAAAGAGCAUUAAAUGACUGCU